UGUCAAACUGAUUGCAGGAUCUACAUGUAGUGGACAUUUAGCAUUUUACAGGUUUUGAGUUUACUGUAUUUAUAUAUUUUUAUUUACUUAGCCAUGAAACAUAAUUUAAAUUAUUUUAAUUUUUCCCCCAAAAAACAGGAUUACCUUCAAAAGAUGGCAGAACUGGAGGUACUGAUAAGUUAUCAGACAAUGAACUUCGCAUAAACAAAGGAGUGUUUGUGGCGAUAUGUCUCAUAAUAUUACUGGUUGGGAUUGCUGUUGGUGGGGUGUUGUGCCUGCUGGUGUAUCGCAAGCAGAGACGAAACCAUAAAAGAAAAGUGAAGAUCACAAGAGUUCCCAGUGCUUUAUCCUCGACUAACUCUCGUCCCAAUUCAACAGUUUCAACGCUUUCCACAGUCAGUGAGAAUGCACCAAUUGUACCACCACAUAGCUAGUAAAGUAUUUCCACCUUACAUAGCAUUAGAUAGGACAUUUUUAACAAUUUUAUCCAUUUUAUAGAGCAUUAUAUGUAGACUUAUUGUGUGGACAACAAAAUACUCAAGAGCUAUUCAUGUAAAUAAUUAUGCAUCAUUUGCAAAUAACCAAGUACUGAAGAGCAAGUUAAAUAUUACAUUAUAUAACACCAUACAGUUUUAAACUGUGGGAUGAAAGCUCUAGCAGUUCAAAGAAUUUUUAUGACAUUGUGUAAAAAAGUACUGGACCGUAUUAUCAUUUUUAUCAACUUUACCACCUUUGUUUAUAGGUGUGUUGGUUGACUUCAAAGUGAUACUUCAUGUUUUACCAUAAUAGAAUUCAACUGGCUGUGAGUUUAUAGAUUUUGUAAAUAAACUUAGCAAUUUAUCAGGGCAGUUGAAAACAUUUUUGCUUAAAACAGAAUAUAAUUUAUUUAUCAUAGGAUGUAUCUCUUCCUAUUGUACACAAAGUCACAGUGGAAGAAUCUGUCGAGAAUGCACUUGCAAUGUAUUUGAGUGCCUGUGUGCCUCCUGCUUCUUCCAGUCUCUUGAAUUUUGUAAGGUGAUAUUGGUGAAAUAGAUCCAUUCAUCAAUAAUACAUGAAGAAACAUUUAUGAUCACAUAUACUGGAAUAUUUAUUAACUUUUCUAAGUAACCACAUUUUUAAAAUAAUGAUUUCAGACUGAAGUGUUUGACUAAUACAAGUAUGGGAGCUAAUGCAGUUCCAUGUCGUUUUUUGUUUUCUGUUUUUUUGCAAAAUCCAGCAAGCUUUCUUUAAUGGGUGUACAUGGUCUUUUCUCAAUAAUGUACAAUAUUAAGCACCUUUUGUUAUUUAAGCCUUAUGAUGUUAUUGUACAAUUUGAUAUUGUUGACCUUUGCCAAUUUUUUAAUUUAUCACAACUAUGUUGAAAGUCCUGUAUAUAUAUUUUUUAAUUUCUUAGAUAAAACCUAGAGCAGUGUACUCUGAACUUGCAGACGAAUAAAAAUAUACAAAGCAA
Long non-coding RNA from Orbicella faveolata, 1450 nucleotides. The record is from RefSeq and is a predicted model, not a curated record. Lineage: Eukaryota; Metazoa; Cnidaria; Anthozoa; Scleractinia; Merulinidae.